RNAcentral lists this ribosomal RNA (376 nucleotides) under uncultured bacterium. RNAcentral's name for it is "bacterial SSU rRNA". It matches the Rfam family "Bacterial small subunit ribosomal RNA", at positions 524 to 898 of the family's 1533-position model. The record is from RNAcentral.
GACGAACCGUACGAACGUUAUUCGGAAUUACUGGGCUUAAAGGGUGCGUAGGCGGCGCGGAAAGUAGGGUGUGAAAUCCCUCGGCUCAACCGAGGAACUGCGCUCUAAACUACCGUGCUCGAGGGAGAUAGAGGUGAGCGGAACUGAGGGUGGAGCGGUGAAAUGCGUUGAUAUCCUCAGGAACACCGGUGGCGAAAGCGGCUCACUGGAUCUCUUCUGACGCUGAGGCACGAAAGCUAGGGUAGCGAACGGGAUUAGAUACCCCGGUAGUCCUAGCCGUAAACGAUGAGCACUGGAUUGGAGGGCCCUCCAUAGCCUUCCGGUCGCAGCGAAAGUGUUAAGUGCUCCGCCUGGGGAGUAUGGUCGCAAGGCUGAA